This 519-nucleotide ribosomal RNA is filed under the name uncultured bacterium. Its description in RNAcentral is "bacterial SSU rRNA". It matches the Rfam family "Bacterial small subunit ribosomal RNA", at positions 28 to 504 of the family's 1533-position model. The record is from RNAcentral.
GAUGAACGCUGGCGGCGUGCCUAAUACAUGCAAGUCGAACGCUUUGUCUUUAAUUGAUCUGACGAGCUUGCUCUAAUUUGAUUUUAUCUGACAAAGAGUGGCGAACGGGUGAGUAACACGUGGGUAACCUACCUCUUAGCAGGGGAUAACAUUUGGAAACAAGUGCUAAUACCGUAUAAUACCAACAACCGCAUGGUUGUUGGUUGAAAGAUGGUUCUGCUAUCACUAAGAGAUGGACCCGCGGUGCAUUAGCUAGUUGGUAAGGUAAAGGCUUACCAAGGCAAUGAUGCAUAGCCGAGUUGAGAGACUGAUCGGCCACAAUGGGACUGAGACACGGCCCAUACUCCUACGGGAGGCAGCAGUAGGGAAUCUUCCACAAUGGACGCAAGUCUGAUGGAGCAACGCCGCGUGUAUGAAGAAGGUCUUCGGAUCGUAAAAUACUGUUGUCAGAGAAGAACACGUGAUAGAGUAACUGCUAUGACGCUGACGGUAUCUGACCAGCAAGUCACGGCUAACUAC